This 146-nucleotide small nucleolar RNA is filed under the name Chlamydomonas reinhardtii. RNAcentral describes it as "CrACA55 snoRNA". Lineage: Eukaryota; Viridiplantae; Chlorophyta; Chlorophyceae; Chlamydomonadales; Chlamydomonadaceae. The record is from RNAcentral.
GCACACUCUCCAACCCCGGGCGGCAGUCCUUCCUGUGGAUUAGUGCGUCCCAAAGACGUGUGCCACAGCUGCUGGGUUCCCGCAGGAGGCUUAGUGUUUCAGCAUGGCUUUGUACUGCCUGGCUGGGUCAACAGCCUUCGACAUCU